AGAUGAUCUUCUGAGCUUUCAAUUUAAUUGCUGUCACUGAAUUGAUAAGAUUAAUUAAGAAAACUAAUUCUGAAUUUCUACCUUCCCUGUCAGAACAGAUUUCUGGUCAAGUCAUAAAAGAUCCAGUCCAUGCUAGGGAUAUUAGUGGUACUAGAAAAGCAUCUUUGAAAACUAUUACUUUCCAAGUAUGUUGUAACUCUAGAAAAGUAUGUAAAACUUUGGAUUGAAAGGCAAUCUUGGGCAAAAUGUUACAUUUUAUUCUGACUCUAUUUUUCUACUGACACUAUUUUUGGUACAAAGAGUUCUUUCUAUUGCAGAAAAUAUAUUUCAGACCCUUUGUCCUUGCCAGACAGCAGUAGAGCAAACAGCUCCCCACCACCACUUUUUUUUUUCUUUUUUUUUUUUUUAACUUAACAAACUAGGAACAUACAGCAGGGAGAUGAGUAAGCAGGCAACAAAGCCCAGCUAUGUAUACACCAUUGGUCACCGCAUAUGGGAACCAAAGACAGGAAACUUUGAAAUGGAAGUAUUGACUUCACCUACCCAGAUGUGUUCCUAUGGCUGCCUUCUCCUCCCAAACUAAAGUUACUACUGUGCAAUUACUCAGUAUUUUACCAGAAAGAAGUCUGGAAAUAGAAGACAUUGCACAGAGUGAAACCAUUUCUGUGCAGUUACAUGUAAGUAUAAAAUAAAUCCUGAACUGCCCGGUUAGAGGAGCUGUAC
Molecule: long non-coding RNA, 723 nt
Filed under: Anas platyrhynchos platyrhynchos (common mallard)
Lineage: Eukaryota; Metazoa; Chordata; Aves; Anseriformes; Anatidae
Description: lncRNA (ENSAPLG00000025383.1)
Source: RNAcentral